CAGCCGCCGCGGUAAAACGGAGGGUGCAAGCGUUAAUCGGAAUUACUGGGCGUAAAGCGCGCGUAGGUGGUUUGUUAAGUUGGAUGUGAAAUCCCCGGGCUCAACCUGGGAACUGCAUCCAAAACUGGCAAGCUAGAGUAUGGUAGAGGGUGGUGGAAUUUCCUGUGUAGCGGUGAAAUGCGUAGAUAUAGGAAGGAACACCAGUGGCGAAGGCGACCACCUGGACUGAUACUGACACUGAGGUGCGAAAGCGUGGGGAGCAAACAGGAUUAGAUACCCCAGUAGUCCCUGUCUCUUAUAC
This 301-nucleotide ribosomal RNA is filed under the name uncultured bacterium. Its description in RNAcentral is "partial 16S ribosomal RNA". It matches the Rfam family "Bacterial small subunit ribosomal RNA", at positions 509 to 807 of the family's 1533-position model. The record is from RNAcentral.